UACGAAGGGGGCUAGCGUUGCUCGGAAUCACUGGGCGUAAAGUGCACGUAGGCGGAUUGCUAAGUCAGGGGUGAAAUCCUGGAGCUCAACUCCAGAACUGCCUUUGAUACUGGGAAGCUCGAGUCCGGAAGAGGUGAGUGGAACUCCGAGUGUAGAGGUGAAAUUCGUAGAUAUUCGGAAGAACACCAGUGGCGAAGGCGGCUCACUGGUCCGGUACUGACGCUGAGGUGCGAAAGCGUGGGGAGCAAACAGG
Molecule: ribosomal RNA, 253 nt
Filed under: uncultured bacterium
Lineage: Bacteria
Description: partial 16S ribosomal RNA
Rfam family: Bacterial small subunit ribosomal RNA
Source: RNAcentral